GGCGGGGGCGAGCGAUAGGCGCUUAGGGAGCUGCGGCUCUUGUCCUCCCAGCUUUUAGCGGAAGGCCUCUGUUUUCUAGGGGACCCCACACCCCCUACUCAUUUGCUUUCCCUUCCAUUCCCACCCACCCAGCCCCACCUGCUUCAUUAUGCCCGCAGCCGGUGUCACUGAUCCUUAAGUGUCGCCAUAACAGAUUCUCACUCUCCACUGACGCCUCAGCUUUUCAUACCUGGAACCUCGAAUACACCCUGACCUCCAGGUCGACCCUUCCCCACCCGGGACUCGGGGUACCCCCACCCCAUUUGUGUUUCUGGUGGCGGUGCAGUACUGCUAGGUCGUUUGAGAUAUAAUAGUCCAAGGAUGCAGGUAUCGAGAAGUUUUACCUUUUUUUCUUUCUGGCUGUUCUGGUAAUUUCUUUAAUUCUCCCUUUCUCCUGGCUGUUUUGCUUUUGCUUUUCAAUACUAGGAAGAUAUGCCCCAUCACACACACGCACGCGCGCGUACACACUCACACGCACAUGCACACACACACCCUAGAACUGCAGGUGAUCUCUUUAGCAUUUCUAAAGCUUUAAGAGCAGUUAAUCCACCUGUCAGUGUUUCCAGAUUUUCUCCUUUCUUUGUUGGGGAUGACCUCAGGGCUGUUAGCCUACGGAGUGUAGGGUAUGAGUUUGGAACCAGCCAGGCGAAGGCCUCUCGCUGGGCUGCCGCUGUGCGCUCUGGGCAGCCGAGAACUUCAGGCUGCCUUGUCUUCCAAAAGCUAAAUUCCUGCUGGACACCACCACCGUCUCCUCUACCACACUAAAAGCUUCCAGCUUGCUUUGUGCACGUGUUUGGCUCCCAACCUGGUGAUUUCCACGAGCCAUGCGGUGGGGCAGGGGCGGGUGCUGAUUUUCAGAGAGAAUUUGCUGCGGCGAGCACCGGGUGUGGCCUCGGAGGGGGGGGGGACUCGGCACCGCCACCAGCACCGAGACUCCACUUUGGGGCGUACAGGAAGCAGUCGCCUGGCUCCUCCCCAGUUCACUACGAUAAGUGCGCUAAGAGGAAACCGAACGCUUUCAACAGAGAGGCUGGAGUUGCUUUGCCGGUGACCCUCAGAGAUGAAGUAUAUAUAGCCGAGGAGGAGAAAAGGGUGGGGUGAGGUUUAUGCCCCUUCACUCCUUUCAGACCUGAAAAUGACCUCGUGAUUCCAGCACCCCACCCUUCUCAAGGCAGAGGGAAGGACUGCAGCAGAGAACUUCUAUGAGAUUUCUAAUCCUGCUAGUUUCAAAUAGCACAAAUUCAGAAACAUUAGUGUGAAUGUUUUAAUCCACCAGGGCUGUUUGGUCUCAGAGUUCUCUCCCUGCUCACAUAUUCUAGGAUGUCCAGCCUAAAGUCUGGAGGCUGCGCAAAACGCUGGCCCUGGCAGACCGGGCAAGAUAUUUGCUAGGAUGACUUUGUAACCUGCAUUACGCUUGCUCUCGCAUUCAUCAGCAGAGAGAGAUGAGGGUUAGGAAGAGACCCCAACAAACUCACCUGUUUUUCUGCCCUCAGGUACCCAGGUGCAGAUGAAAAGUGGAGGAAUGGAUUUAUUUUUAAUCUGCUCCACAUAAACCACAUUCUUUCACACUCAGUGUGCAUGGAUCUGUGUGUGCCACGCUCCUGGGGACUUGUGAUUUCCUUUCCUUUGUGCCAGCUCCCUUCCCGCGGAGUUUCAGGUUAUCCCAAGGGUUUUAAGGCCCUCAGCAUUUUUAGAUUUAUUUAUUUUUGCCGUGGCUCCUUGCCGAAGCCUUUGACUGCAGAGAAGGCUGCCUGAGAGGGAGUGGGGCGGCGGCUGCACUGCAGGGCCAGUGAGAGGCUGCAGAGAAGCCGGUGGAGCACCCGCUGCCACUCUUUGUGUGCAGGAAGAACAAGGAGGUGCACAGGCAUGGUGAAGGGUGAGAACGGGAGAGCACAGGGGCCCUUUCCUUGGCUGACCCUUGCCCAGGGUGUGGUCGCCCUGCCUUGGGUUUGCCUGCCCGGUGCCUGCUCCUUUUUUAGUAUUCUGUCCAGUCAUCCUCCUUUUUAAUCCUCUUCCCAGAAUCCUGCUUGGAAAGUCCACGGCCAUGCACUCUGUGUGACAAAGCAAUGGUGAGAUGAGCAACUUUAGAAAAUCUGGUUUGCAAGAAAAACUUGACUGGGCUGGGGAUAUAGCCUAGCAGCACACACCUGCCUGGCAAGCAUGAGGUCCUGAGUUCCAUUCCUGCACCAAAAAAAGAAAGAAAAACUUGAUUGUUCCUUCCCCUCACCAGAAACAUUUCUAAAUCAAUGUUGCAUGUAAUGUUGUCUUCACCUCUUUAGAAGGAAGCUCUUGAGUCUCAUUAUGUACUUGUCCACUUAUUCCUUUAAGCAUAUCCUGCACAGACAUGAAAGUGGUUGAGGCUUACCCACACACACUCUCAGGUAUCAAGAUUAUUUUAAAAAUAAAUGUAGAAAUCUGUUAGUGCAAUGGCAAGCAGAAACACUGAAAUAACACCCAGGAUUUGGAGGCAGAUUUAUUUAUGUUAUGAGCACUGAUCGAGAUCAUUCCCACAGUAUUAAGCCCUGAUCUCUGGUGGGCUAGGGCUUAUAUGAGAUAAGCAAGCAGGAAGUACAGAGGCAGAAUGGCUUGUCAGUUGGGGAGUAAUUUAUACAGUGUGCAUUGUAGUGACCAGCUAUGCAUCAGUGACCAGCCAUUUCUAAGAGACAGGAGCAACCGGAUCUGGAACGGGGGCUGUUUUCUGGACUACUACACAAACGGAAGUACAACGGCUGGUGGAGGUGGGGGUGCAUUUUCUGCUACAUUGGUGCCACUCAGUAGUAUCUCUACUGAUCUGGUUUUUUCUUAAUACCUCUAUAAUCCUCUAAAAACUGUUUCAGGUCAUUUGUUGAUAAGCAAAAGAGAUAUACAUUACCAUAAAGGUCAUAACUUUUAACUGUGUUAGAACCACUGGAAAUAUUUCACUUCCUCUCCACUGCUAAGAGAGUUCAAGAGCUUCAGAUGGCUAGGACUCAGUGACUGAUGGCUUUUCCACUCAUCAUUCUGAACCCCAGUGUUGCAAAAAGUUCUGUAUUAACAUUUGCUUUGAAAGGUGCUGCUUUAGGCUGAGGUUCUGGCAGGACAAAAGCUUCAGAGUGGGGGUCAGGAGAGCCAAAGUUCUGUCCUGCAGCAGUGAUGUGUAAAACUGGAGCUAGGCCAGAACAGCAGCUGGGUCUGCACACACCUCACCGUAAGGUGUCACCGUCAGUGGCAUUGACAUGGCAUCAGCCAUGGAAGGAGGGGUAAAGGGAAUAACACAUGCAGGCGAUUGCUAACUAUUGUUUAGUAACAAAAUACAGAUGAGAUGGAUAUGCAGAGCCAACAGCAGAGGCCAGACAGGUUAAAAAUGUGCCACGUCACACAGCUACCUCAAGUCUGGACUCCAGUGGCUCCCAGGUACAGCAGUGCUCUGCUCGGAGCCAUUUUCUACCUCCCUGUCUAAGAAUUUGAGAAUUACAUGCUCCUGUAGCAGAAGCUAGCAUGCAUAUAGUAUAACAACCCUCUCCUGUUUGGGGGAUGCCAAUGUGAACUGGUCUAGACCGUGAGGAAACUGGUAGAGAGACUGUUCCAUUUGGAGAACUAAUGGUGGCCAUAACUUUAUGAUUGAUACAACGAUCUCGGUAUUUUAAAAAAGUUGCUGCCACCAGUACAGUGGACACAUUAACUGCUCAUGUAACUUUUACAGGGAGGAGGGACUUUCUGGACAUAGCUCUCGAAAUUGGUUUACAAAGCACCAUUUCAGGAUUUAAUAAACUGAAAGGCAAUUUAGGUAAUGGAAACUCUUUAAAAUAAACCUCAUUGUGAUUUCUAUUUUCUAGUUAAGAUAUUUUCAUUUACCACAUCUAUAAAUGGGUUUUCUUUAAUAAAAUUUACCAUAAUGAAUAGAAGAAGAAAUGCUGGCAUUCAACACCUCAUUACUGAGUUUGUCAUGCUGCUUACAAAUUUUUUCAAAUAUGAAUAAAAUCUACAGGAAAAUACGAA
Molecule: long non-coding RNA, 4017 nt
Organism: Cavia porcellus (domestic guinea pig)
Lineage: Eukaryota; Metazoa; Chordata; Mammalia; Rodentia; Caviidae
Exons: 2
Source: RefSeq, a predicted model, not a curated record